AAGGAUCAUUACCGAGUUCAUGCCCUCACGGGUAGAUCUCCCACCCUGUGUAUACUAUACCUUUGUUGCUUUGGCGGGCCGCCUAGCUACCGGCUUCGGCUGGUAAGUGCCCGCCAGAGGACCCCAAACUCUGAAUUAUUAGUGUCGUCUGAGUAAAAGUUUAAUAUUUUAAAACUUUCAACAACGGAUCUCUUGGCUCUG
This 201-nucleotide unclassified non-coding RNA is filed under the name uncultured fungus. RNAcentral describes it as "partial contains 18S rRNA, ITS1, 5.8S rRNA, ITS2 and 28S rRNA". The record is from RNAcentral. Lineage: Eukaryota; Fungi.